CAGGAGUUCACUGCUACCUUCCCUCGAGC
This 29-nucleotide non-coding RNA is filed under the name Homo sapiens (human). Lineage: Eukaryota; Metazoa; Chordata; Mammalia; Primates; Hominidae. The record is from RNAcentral.